GAUGAACGCUGGCGGCGUGCCUAAUACAUGCAAGUCGAGCGGACGGACGAGGAGCUUGCUUUUCUGAUGUUAGCGGCGGACGGGUGAGUAACACGUGGAUAACCUACCUAUAAGACUGGGAUAACUUCGGGAAACCGGAGCUAAUACCGGAUAAUAUUUUGAACCGCAUGGUUCAAAAGUGAAAGACGGUCUUGCUGUCACUUAUAGAUGGAUCCGGGCUGGAUUGGCUAGUUGGUAAGGUAACGGCUUAUCAAGGCAAGGAUGCAUAGCCGACCUGAGAGGGUGAUCGGCGACACUGGAAGUGAGACAGGGUCCAGAGUCCUACGGGAGGCAGCAGUAGGGAAUCUGCCGCAGUGGGCGAAAGCCUGACGGAGCAACGCGGAGUGAGUGAUGAAGGUCUUGGGAUCGUAAAACUCUGUUAUUAGGGAAGAACAGAUGUGUAAGUAACUGUGCACAUCUUGACGGUACCUAAUCAGAAAGCCACGGCUAACUACGUG
Molecule: ribosomal RNA, 497 nt
Filed under: uncultured bacterium
Lineage: Bacteria
Description: partial 16S ribosomal RNA
Rfam family: Bacterial small subunit ribosomal RNA
Source: RNAcentral